This 495-nucleotide ribosomal RNA is filed under the name uncultured bacterium. RNAcentral describes it as "partial 16S ribosomal RNA". It matches the Rfam family "Bacterial small subunit ribosomal RNA", at positions 28 to 507 of the family's 1533-position model. The record is from RNAcentral.
GACGAACGCUGGCGGCGUGCCUAAUACAUGCAAGUAGAACGCUGAAGGAGGAGCUUGCUUCUCUGGAUGAGUUGCGAACGGGUGAGUAACGCGUAGGUAACCUACCUGGUAGCGGGGGAUAACUAUUGGAAACGAUAGCUAAUACCGCAUAAGAGUAGAUGUCGCAUGACAUUUGCUUAAAAGGUGCAAUUGCAUCACUACCAGAUGGACCUGCGUUGUAUUAGCUAGUUGGUGAGGUAACGGCUCACCAAGGCAACGAUACAUAGCCGACCUGAGAGGGUGAUCGGCCACACUGGGACUGAGACACGGCCCAGACUCCUACGGGAGGCAGCAGUAGGGAAUCGUCGGCAAUGGACGGAAGUCUGACCAAGCAACGCCGCGUGAGUGAAGAAGGUUUUCGGAUCGGAAAGCUCUGUUGUAAGAGAAGAACGAGUGUGAGAGUGGAAAGUUCACACUGUGACGGUAUCUGACCAGAAAGGGACGGCUAACUACGUG